CCUACGGGGGGCAGCAGUGAGGAAUAUUGGUCAAUGGACGAGAGCCUGAACCAGCCACGUAGCGUGAAGGAUGAAUGCCCUAUGGGUUGUAAACUUCUUUUAUAAGGGAAUAAAACGCGGCACGUGUGCCUUUUUGCAUGUACUUUAUGAAUAAGGAUCGGCUAACUCCGUGCCAGCAGCCGCGGUAAUACGGAGGAUCCGAGCGUUAUCCGGAUUUAUUGGGUUUAAAGGGAGCGUAGAUGGGUUGUUAAGUCAGUUGUGAAAGUUUGUGGCUCAACCAUAGAAUUGCAAUUGAUACUGGCAGGCUUGAGUACAUUUGAGGUAGGCGGAAUUCGUGGUGUAGCGGUGAAAUGCUUAGAUAUCACGAAGAACCCCGAUUGCGAAGGCAGCUUACUAAACUGUGACUGACAUUGAUGCACGAAAGUGUGGGGAUCAAACAGGAUUAGAUACCCUAGUAGUC
RNAcentral lists this ribosomal RNA (460 nucleotides) under uncultured bacterium. RNAcentral's name for it is "partial 16S ribosomal RNA". It matches the Rfam family "Bacterial small subunit ribosomal RNA", at positions 338 to 795 of the family's 1533-position model. The record is from RNAcentral.